RNAcentral lists this ribosomal RNA (292 nucleotides) under uncultured bacterium. Its description in RNAcentral is "partial 16S ribosomal RNA". It matches the Rfam family "Bacterial small subunit ribosomal RNA", at positions 505 to 796 of the family's 1533-position model. The record is from RNAcentral.
GUGACAGCCGCCGCGGUAAUACGGAGGGUGCUAGCGUUGUUCGGAAUUAUUGGGCGUAAAGAGCGUGUAGGCGGCCAGGUAAGUCAGAUGUGAAAACCCUUGGCUUAACCAAGGAAGUGCAUUUGAAACUGUCCGGCUUGAGUACGGGAGGGGAAAGCGGAAUUCCCGGUGUAGAGGUGAAAUUCGUAGAUAUCGGGAGGAACACCGGUGGCGAAGGCGGCUUUCUGGACCGAUACUGACGCUGAGACGCGAAAGCGUGGGGAGCAAACAGGAUUAGAAACCCGUGUAGUCC